RNAcentral lists this small RNA (732 nucleotides) under Pan troglodytes (chimpanzee). RNAcentral describes it as "retained intron". The record is from RNAcentral. Lineage: Eukaryota; Metazoa; Chordata; Mammalia; Primates; Hominidae.
CAUGGGACUCCUCCCACUCCAGUAUCCAGAACUCGCCCAAGCUGACCCCCAAAAUGAAAAAAGACAAGAGGGCUUCCAGGGGCAAGAAAGAGAAGGUGAGGCAGCUGCAGUGCACUGAGCAUCAGGCGGUGCUGGCAGAGCAGAAAGGCCACCUCCUCCUGGACAGUGACGAGCGGCCCAGUCCCGAAGAGGAAGAAGGCAAGCACAUCCACCUGGGCCACCUGCGCUUACAGAGGACACUGCACAGCAUCGACCUGGAGAUCCAAGAGGGUAAACUGGUUGGAAUCUGCGGCAGUGUGGGAAGUGGAAAAACCUCUCUCAUUUCAGCCAUUUUAGGCCAGGUAAGAUUUCUGUUAUUGUCCUUUUCUGCUGCUUUCUCUGGUUCGCAAGAGUCUCAGGAAAAACGAACAAAUUUCCUGGAGAGUCAGGAAAGGUGGAAACAAAUGAACCCUCAGCCUGCAUUGUAUGCCCCCAAUCCCCCGCAGUUCCCCCCAGUUCUCCCCCUUCACAGCCUUCUGCCUGGAAGGAGGCCUGGUGGGCGCCUGAUGGAUGACUGACUGUUGUCCCAGCUGGAGCCAUUUGGUCUCAUGCCUUCUUUCAUUCAGCAUGUAUCUAUUGAGUGCCACAGGUAUGCCCGUGUAUUGAAAAUGUCAGAGAUAAGAGAUGAACAGACACCCUACACUGCAGCGCUGCCAACAGAGUUAACCUGUAAAGAAGCAGGGCGGCCAGCAC